CGAGCCGGCCGGACGGCCGCGCCGGGAGCCUUCCCGAGAGGCGAGCGGUGAGGAAAGUCCGGACUCCACAGGGCAAGGUGGUGGGUAAUACCCACCCGGGGUGACCCGCGGGACAGUGCCACAGAAAACAGACCGCCGCCGGUUCGCCGGCGGUAAGGGUGAAACGGUGGUGUAAGAGACCACCAGCGUCCGGGGUGACUCGGACGGCUCGGUAAACCCCACUUGGAGCAAGGCCAAGAUCGUCGGGCACUUUUCGGAGAGUCCGGCGUGUGUGAGCGUCCGAGGGCUGCCCGCCCGAGCUCACAGGUAGGCCGCACCGAGGUCGACGGCAACGUCGGCCCCAGAUGGAUGGCCGUCUCACCGGACGCAAUUCCGGUGAACAGAAUCCGGCUUACAGGCCGGCUCGUCGC
Molecule: RNase P RNA, 410 nt
Filed under: Sporichthya sp.
Lineage: Bacteria; Bacillati; Actinomycetota; Actinomycetes; Sporichthyales; Sporichthyaceae
Description: RNase P RNA component class A
Rfam family: Bacterial RNase P class A
About the family: Ribonuclease P (RNase P) is a ubiquitous endoribonuclease, found in archaea, bacteria and eukarya as well as chloroplasts and mitochondria.
Source: RNAcentral